GGCAGUUUAGCUUAAUGGUAAAGCACUUGACACGUAAUUACAGGGAUGUGAGUUCAUGUCUCAUGGCUGGCA
Non-coding RNA from Octopus bimaculoides (California two-spot octopus), 72 nucleotides. NCBI's taxonomy places the organism in Eukaryota, Metazoa, Mollusca, Cephalopoda, Octopoda, Octopodidae. The record is from Rfam.